AUUGAACGCUAGCGGGAUGCUUUACACAUGCAAGUCGAACGGCAGCGCGGACUUCGGUCUGGCGGCGAGUGGCGAACGGGUGAGUAAUGUAUCGGAACGUGCCCAGUAGCGGGGGAUAACUACGCGAAAGCGUAGCUAAUACCGCAUACGCCCUACGGGGGAAAGCAGGGGAUCGUAAGACCUUGCACUAUUGGAGCGGCCGAUAUCGGAUUAGCUAGUUGGUGAGGUAACGGCGCACCAAGGCGACGAUCCGUAGCUGGUUUGAGAGGACGACCAGCCACACUGGGACUGAGACACGGCCCAGACUCCUACGGGAGGCAGCAGUGGGGAAUUUUGGACAAUGGGGGCAACCCUGAUCCAGCCAUCCCGCGUGUGCGAUGAAGGCCUUCGGGUUGUAAAGCACUUUUGGCAGGAAAGAAACGUCGCGGGCUAAUACCCCGUGGAACUGACGGUACCUGCAGAAUAAGCACCGGCUAACUACGUG
This 484-nucleotide ribosomal RNA is filed under the name uncultured bacterium. RNAcentral describes it as "partial 16S ribosomal RNA". It matches the Rfam family "Bacterial small subunit ribosomal RNA", at positions 30 to 507 of the family's 1533-position model. The record is from RNAcentral.